GGAGCUUGCUCCUCUGAUGUUAGCGGCGGACGGGUGAGUAACACGUGGGUAACCUACCUAUAAGACUGGGAUAACUCCGGGAAACCGGGGCUAAUACCGGAUAAUACAUGAAACCGCAUGGUUUCAUGAUAAAAGACGGUUUUGCUGUCACUUAUAGAUGGACCCGCGGCGUAUUAGCUAGUUGGUGGGGUAAUGGCUUACCAAGGCAACGAUACGUAGCCGACCUGAGAGGGUGAUCGGCCACACUGGAACUGAGACACGGUCCAGACUCCUACGGGAGGCAGCAGUAGGGAAUCUUCCGCAAUGGGCGAAAGCCUGACGGAGCAACGCCGCGUGAGUGAUGAAGGUCCUAGGAUCGUAAAACUCUGUUAUUAGGGAAGAACAAGGAUGUAAGUAACUGUGCAUCCCUUGACGGUACCUAAUCAGAAAGCCACGGCUAACUACGUGCCAGCAGCCGCGGUAAUACGUAGGUGGCAAGCGUUAUCCGGAAUUAUUGGGCGUAAAGCGCGCGUAGGCGGUUUUUUAAGUCUGAUGUGAAAGCCCACGGCUCAACCGUGGAGGGUCAUUGGAAACUG
This 575-nucleotide ribosomal RNA is filed under the name Staphylococcus sp. KB53. RNAcentral describes it as "bacterial SSU rRNA". It matches the Rfam family "Bacterial small subunit ribosomal RNA", at positions 75 to 635 of the family's 1533-position model. The record is from RNAcentral. Lineage: Bacteria; Bacillati; Bacillota; Bacilli; Caryophanales; Staphylococcaceae.